GAUGAAGAACGCAGCGAAAUGCGAUAAGUAGUGUGAAUUGCAGAAUUCGGUGAAUCAUCGAAUCUUUGAACGCACAUUGCGCCUUCUAGUAUUCUGGGAGGCAUGCCUGUUUGAGCGUCAUUAAACCUCUCUCAAGUAUGAUUACUUGGAUGUGAAGGAAGAGUACCUUAAACUUAAGGAGUGUUCUCCUUUGAAAUUGAUUAGCAGAUGGUAAUGUUAUUAAAUCCCUGAUGUUGUAAGAAAUAACAGUGGUUUUGUAGACUAUUAUCUAGCUUUAAAUUAUAAUUUUUAUUAUGGUUGACCUCAAAUCAGGUAAGGAUACCCGCUGAACUUAAGCAUAUCAAUAAGCGGAGGA
This 355-nucleotide unclassified non-coding RNA is filed under the name soil metagenome. RNAcentral describes it as "partial contains 5.8S ribosomal RNA, internal transcribed spacer 2, and large subunit ribosomal RNA". The stretch from base 1 to 120 matches the Rfam family "5.8S ribosomal RNA", at positions 35 to 154 of the family's 154-position model. The record is from RNAcentral.